UACAGAGGUCUCUAGCGUUAAGCGGAAUCACUGGGCUUAAAGCGUGCGUAGGCGGAUUUGUAAGUGCCUUGUGAAAUCCCACAGCUCAACUGUGGAAUUGCUUGGUAGACUGCAAGUCUUGAGGUCGGUAGAGGUCGUCGGAACUCUAGGUGGAGCGGUGAAAUGCGUAGAUAUCUAGAGGAACGCCAAAGGUGAAGACAGGCGACUGGGCCGAUUCUGACGCUGAGGCACGAAAGCGUGGGGAGCAAACGGG
Molecule: ribosomal RNA, 253 nt
Filed under: uncultured Phycisphaera sp.
Lineage: Bacteria; Pseudomonadati; Planctomycetota; Phycisphaerae; Phycisphaerales; Phycisphaeraceae
Description: partial 16S ribosomal RNA
Rfam family: Bacterial small subunit ribosomal RNA
Source: RNAcentral